Molecule: non-coding RNA, 273 nt
Organism: Vicia faba (fava bean)
Lineage: Eukaryota; Viridiplantae; Streptophyta; Magnoliopsida; Fabales; Fabaceae
Source: the annotation of a GenBank genome assembly
AUGGUGAAUAAUGUGAGUGAUAACAUUGAUGGUGUUGUUAAUGAUUUUGUCAAUGCUGAUAAGGGUUAUAUCCAUAAGAAUAAUGAAGUUCAUAAUGAAUCUGAUCUUAUCAAUGAUGGUGUUACUAAAUAUGUUGGUAUUAGUAAAAAAAAUGAUAAGAAAUCAAAGAAAAAGGUGGAAAAAAGAAAGGUUGUGCUUAAGGCUAAAAGGAUUCAUUCUGAGAAGAUCCCUACGCCUACCAUGGCAAAGAAAACACCCAAGAAGAAGAAAUAA